RNAcentral lists this ribosomal RNA (254 nucleotides) under uncultured bacterium. RNAcentral describes it as "partial 16S ribosomal RNA". It matches the Rfam family "Bacterial small subunit ribosomal RNA", at positions 524 to 776 of the family's 1533-position model. The record is from RNAcentral.
UACGUAGGGGGCUAGCGUUGUCCGGAAUCAUUGGGCGUAAAGAGCGUGUAGGCGGUCUGCUAAGCGUGCGGUGAAAGCCUGGGGCUCAACCCCAGGUCUGCCGUGCGAACUGGGGGACUCGAGCACUGUAGAGGCAGGCGGAAUUCCGGGUGUAGCGGUGGAAUGCGUAGAGAUCCGGAAGAACACCGGUGGCGAAGGCGGCCUGACUGGGCAGUGGCUGACGCUGAGGCGCGACAGCGUGGGGAGCAAACAGG